UACAGAGGGUGCGAGCGUUGUCCGGAUUUAUUGGGCGUAAAGAGCGUGUAGGCGGCUUGGAAGGUCCGUUGUGAAAACUCGAGGCUCAACCUCGAGACGCCGAUGGAAACCACCUGGCUAGAGUCCGGAAGAGGAGAGUGGAAUUCCUGGUGUAGCGGUGAAAUGCGCAGAUAUCAGGAAGAACACCCGUGGCUAAGGCGGCUCUCUAGUACGGUACUGACGCUGAGACGCGAAAGCGUGGGGAGCGAACAGG
This 253-nucleotide ribosomal RNA is filed under the name uncultured bacterium. RNAcentral's name for it is "partial 16S ribosomal RNA". It matches the Rfam family "Bacterial small subunit ribosomal RNA", at positions 524 to 776 of the family's 1533-position model. The record is from RNAcentral.